This 482-nucleotide ribosomal RNA is filed under the name uncultured bacterium. RNAcentral's name for it is "SSU rRNA". It matches the Rfam family "Bacterial small subunit ribosomal RNA", at positions 26 to 523 of the family's 1533-position model. The record is from RNAcentral.
AGGACGAACGCUGGCGGCGUGCUUAACACAUGCAAGUCGAGCGACGCUCCUCCUUCGGGAGGAUGACGGAGCGGCGAACGGGUGAGUAACACGUGGGCAACCUGCCCCUAGCUCUGGGAUAACCCCGGGAAAUCGGGACUAAUACCGGAUAUGAAGUCGGACGGCAUCGUCUGACUUGGAAAGUUUUUCGGCUAGGGAUGGGCCCGCGGCCUAUCAGCUUGUUGGUGGGGUAAUGGCCUACCAAGGCGACGACGGGUAGCCGGCCUGAGAGGGCGACCGGCCACACUGGGACUGAGACACGGCCCAGACUCCUACGGGAGGCAGCAGUGGGGAAUAUUGCACAAUGGGCGAAAGCCUGAUGCAGCGACGCCGCGUGAGGGAUGACUGCCUUCGGGUUGUAAACCUCUUUCAGCAGGGACGAAGCGAAAGUGACGGUACUGCAGAAGAAGCACCGGCCAACUACGUGCCAGCAGCCGCGGUAA